GCCUGGUAGUGGGGGAUAACGUCCGGAAACGGACGCUAAUACCGCAUACGUCCUACGGGAGAAAGCAGGGGACCUUCGGGCCUUGCGCUAUCAGAUGAGCCUAGGUCGGAUUAGCUAGUUGGUGGGGUAAUGGCUCACCAAGGCGACGAUCCGUAACUGGUCUGAGAGGAUGAUCAGUCACACUGGAACUGAGACACGGUCCAGACUCCUACGGGAGGCAGCAGUGGGGAAUAUUGGACAAUGGGCGAAAGCCUGAUCCAGCCAUGCCGCGUGUGUGAAGAAGGUCUUCGGAUUGUAAAGCACUUUAAGUUGGGAGGAAGGGCAGUAAAUUAAUACUUUGCUGUUUUGACGUUACCGACAGAAUAAGCACCGGCUAACUCUGUGCCAGCAGCCGCGGUAAUACAGAGGGUGCAAGCGUUAAUCGGAAUUACUG
RNAcentral lists this ribosomal RNA (433 nucleotides) under uncultured bacterium. Its description in RNAcentral is "bacterial SSU rRNA". It matches the Rfam family "Bacterial small subunit ribosomal RNA", at positions 128 to 556 of the family's 1533-position model. The record is from RNAcentral.